RNAcentral lists this long non-coding RNA (183 nucleotides) under Mustela putorius furo (domestic ferret). RNAcentral describes it as "lncRNA (ENSMPUG00000023920.1)". Lineage: Eukaryota; Metazoa; Chordata; Mammalia; Carnivora; Mustelidae. The record is from RNAcentral.
CACGAGGUGGGUGAAUAAAGAUGCCAAAGGCUGGUGGCCCAGCCCUGGAUGGAACAGUCACCAUUUAGAGACUGAAUCCUGGGGUCCAGUAAGAAGACUUCACUAGAGUGGCACACAGCACGCAUGGUUUCAGUAGUAGAGCUUGCUGUUUUAUACAAUGAAUUAGGAGUCUUUCAUCUGGAA